Molecule: ribosomal RNA, 292 nt
Filed under: uncultured bacterium
Lineage: Bacteria
Description: partial 16S ribosomal RNA
Rfam family: Bacterial small subunit ribosomal RNA
Source: RNAcentral
GUGCCAGCCGCCGCGGUAAUACGGAGGGAGCUAGCGUUGUUCGGAAUUACUGGGCGUAAAGCGCGCGUAGGCGGCUCAUUAAGUCAGAGGUGAAAUCCCGGGGCUCAACCCCGGAACUGCCUUUGAAACUGGCGAGCUAGAAUCCUGGAGAGGCGAGUGGAAUUCCGAGUGUAGAGGUGAAAUUCGUAGAUAUUCGGAAGAACACCAGUGGCGAAGGCGACUCGCUGGACAGGUAUUGACGCUGAGGUGCGAAAGCGUGGGGAGCAAACAGGAUUAGAAACCCCAGUAGUCC